AGAGUUUGAUCCUGGCUCAGGAUGAACGCUAGCGGCAGGCUUAACACAUGCAAGUCGAGGGGCAGCAUGAGACGGAGAUUCGUCGAAGUCUUGAUGGCGACCGGCGCAAGGGUGCGUAACGCGUGAGCAACUUGCCCGUUUCAGGGGGAUAACCGGUGGAAACGCCGACUAAUACCCCAUGGUGAUGUUAUGAGGCAUCUCAUUUCAUCUAAAGAGAUUCGGAAACGGAUAGGCUCGCGUGACAUUAGCUAGAUGGCGGGGUAACGGCCCACCAUGGCGACGAUGUCUAGGGGUUCUGAGAGGAAGGCCCCCCACACUGGAACUGAGACACGGUCCAGACUCCUACGGGAGGCAGCAGUGAGGAAUAUUGGUCAAUGGUCUGACGACUGAACCAGCCAUGCCGCGUGAAGGAAACGGCCCUAUGGGUCUUAAACUUCUUUUGUAAGGGAGCAAUAAGGUCUACGUGUAGACUGAUGAGAGUACCUUACGAAUAAGCAUCGGCUAACUCCGUGCCAGCAGCCGCGGU
This 526-nucleotide ribosomal RNA is filed under the name uncultured bacterium. Its description in RNAcentral is "bacterial SSU rRNA". It matches the Rfam family "Bacterial small subunit ribosomal RNA", at positions 8 to 521 of the family's 1533-position model. The record is from RNAcentral.